CGUAGGGGGCUAGCGUUGUCCGGAAUCAUUGGGCGUAAAGCGCGUGUAGGCGGCCUUGUAAGUCCGUUCUGAAAGUCCGGGGCUCAACCCCGGGAGGCGGAUGGAUACUGCAAGGCUCGAGUCCGGAAGAGGCGAGUGGAAUUCCCGGUGUAGCGGUGAAAUGCGCAGAUAUCGGGAGGAACACCAAUGGCGAAGGCAGCUCGCUGGGACGGUACUGACGCUGAGACGCGAAAGCGUGGGGAGCAAACAGGAUUAGAUACCCUGGUAGUCCACGCCGUAAACGAUGGACACUAGGUGUGGGGGGUGUCGACUCCCUCCGUGCCGAAGCUAACGCAUUAAGUGUCCCGCCUGGGGAGUACGGCCGCAAGGCUA
This 372-nucleotide ribosomal RNA is filed under the name uncultured organism. RNAcentral describes it as "bacterial SSU rRNA". It matches the Rfam family "Bacterial small subunit ribosomal RNA", at positions 526 to 896 of the family's 1533-position model. The record is from RNAcentral.